UGGCCUUGCGCCGGCGAUGGUUCAUUCAAAUUUCUGCCCUAUCAACUUUCGAUGGUAGGAUAGUGGCCUACCAUGGUGGCAACGGGUAACGGGGAAUUAGGGUUCGAUUCCGGAGAGGGAGCCUGAGAAACGGCUACCACAUCCAAGGAAGGCAGCAGGCGCGCAAAUUACCCAAUCCCGACACGGGGAGGUAGUGACAAUAAAUACUGAUACGGGGCUCUUUUGGGUCUCGUAAUUGGAAUGAGUACAAUCUAAAUCCCUUAACGAGGAACAAUUGGAGGGCAAGUCUGGUGCCAGCAGCCGCGGUAAUUCCAGCUCCAAUAGCGUAUAUUAAAGUUGUUGCAGUUAAAAAGCUCGUAGUUGAACCUUGGGUCUGGCUGGCCGGUCCGCCUCACCGCGAGUACUGGUCCGGCUGGACCUUUCCUUCUGGGGAACCUCAUGGCCUUCACUGGCUGUGGGGGGAACCAGGACUUUUACUGUGAAAAAAUUAGAGUGUUCAAAGCAGGCCUUUGCUCGAAUACAUUAGCAUGGAAUAAUAGAAUAGGACGUGCGGUUCUAUUUUGUUGGUUUCUAGGACCGCCGUAAUGAUUAAUAGGGAUAGUCGGGGGCGUCAGUAUUCAGCUGUCAGAGGUGAAAUUCUUGGAUUUGCUGAAGACUAACUACUGCGAAAGCAUUCGCCAAGGAUGUUUUCAUUAAUCAGGGAACGAAAGUUAGGGGAUCGAAGACGAUCAGAUACCGUCGUAGUCUUAACCAUAAACUAUGCCGACUAGGGAUCGGGCGGUGUUUCUAUAAUGACCCGCUCGGCACCUUACGAGAAAUCAAAGUUUUUGGGUUCUGGGGGGAGUAUGGU
Molecule: ribosomal RNA, 850 nt
Filed under: uncultured fungus
Lineage: Eukaryota; Fungi
Description: SSU rRNA
Rfam family: Eukaryotic small subunit ribosomal RNA
Source: RNAcentral